AGUUCGGAUCGCAGGCUGCAACCCGCCUGCGUGAAGUUGGAAUCGCUAGUAAUCGCGGAUCAGCAUGCCGCGGUGAAUACGUUCCCGGGCCUUGUACACACCGCCCGUCACACCAUGAGAGUCGGGAACACCCGAAGUCCGUAGCCUAACCGCAAGGGGGGCGCGGCCGAAGGUGGGUUCGAUAAUUGGGGUGAAGUCGUAACAAGGUAUC
Molecule: ribosomal RNA, 211 nt
Filed under: uncultured bacterium
Lineage: Bacteria
Description: partial 16S ribosomal RNA
Rfam family: Bacterial small subunit ribosomal RNA
Source: RNAcentral